This 118-nucleotide ribosomal RNA is filed under the name Maylandia zebra (zebra mbuna). Lineage: Eukaryota; Metazoa; Chordata; Actinopteri; Cichliformes; Cichlidae. The record is from RNAcentral.
GCUUACGGCCAUACAACCCUGAACACGCCCGAUCUUGUCUGAUCUCGGAAGCCAGCUGGGUCGGGCCUGGUCAGUACUUGGAUGGGGCACUGCCUGGGAAUACCAGGUGCUGUAAGCU